GAUGAACGCUGGCGGCGUGCCUAAUACAUGCAAGUCGAGCGAAUGACGAGGAGCUUGCUCCUCUGAUUUAGCGGCGGACGGGUGAGUAACACGUGGGUAACCUGCCUGUAAGACGGGGAUAACUCCGGGAAACCGGAGCUAAUACCGGAUGAUAACGAGAAGCGCCUGCUUCUUUUUUGAAAGUCGGUUUCGGCUGACGCUUACAGAUGGGCCCGCGGCGCAUUAGCUAGUUGGUGAGGUAACGGCUCACCAAGGCGACGAUGCGUAGCCGACCUGAGAGGGUGAUCGGCCACACUGGGACUGAGACACGGCCCAGACUCCUACGGGAGGCAGCAGUAGGGAAUCUUCGGCAAUGGACGAAAGUCUGACCGAGCAACGCCGCGUGAGCGAUGAAGGCCUUCGGGUCGUAAAGCUCUGUUGUCAGAGAAGAACAAGUACCGGAGUAACUGCCGGUACCUUGACGGUACCUGACCAGAAAGCCACGGCUAACUACGUGCCAGCAGCCGCAGUAA
RNAcentral lists this ribosomal RNA (512 nucleotides) under uncultured bacterium. RNAcentral's name for it is "partial 16S ribosomal RNA". It matches the Rfam family "Bacterial small subunit ribosomal RNA", at positions 28 to 523 of the family's 1533-position model. The record is from RNAcentral.